UGAUGGAUGAAUUGCUCAUUGUAUUAUUGGUUACAGAAACGUCGUCCUUAUUCAAGUUAAAACUAAAAAGUCCUAUUCUGUGAAAACAAAGGAAACUAAUUGCCAAGAAUUGUUUAUGAAUGGCUUUUCUUCUUUUGUUACAUAAAGGAUCUGCACACCGAUAUUUCUAUAGGUCAAGUGUUCCUUGAUAGCCUACCUAAAAUAAAACUACAUGAGGAUUCAAGCAUGAAGAGA
Molecule: long non-coding RNA, 234 nt
Filed under: Elaeis guineensis (African oil palm)
Lineage: Eukaryota; Viridiplantae; Streptophyta; Magnoliopsida; Arecales; Arecaceae
Description: long non-coding RNA (EGUI_LNC054757)
Source: RNAcentral